RNAcentral lists this ribosomal RNA (482 nucleotides) under uncultured bacterium. RNAcentral describes it as "partial 16S ribosomal RNA". It matches the Rfam family "Bacterial small subunit ribosomal RNA", at positions 30 to 507 of the family's 1533-position model. The record is from RNAcentral.
AUUGAACGCUGGCGGCAUGCCUUACACAUGCAAGUCGAACGGUAACGGGCCUUCGGGUGCCGACGAGUGGCGGACGGGGGAGUAAUACAUCGGAACGUGCCCGAUCGUGGGGGAUAACGAGGCGAAAGCUUUGCUAAUACCCCAUACGAUCUAAGGAUGACAGCAGGGGACCGCAAGGCCUCGCGCGGACGGACGGGCCGAUGGCAGAUUAGGUAGUUGGUGGGAUAAAAGCGUACCAAGCCGACGAUCUGUAGCUGGUCUGAGAGGAUGAUCAGCCACACUGGGACUGAGACACGGCCCAGACUCCUACGGGAGGCAGCAGUGGGGAAUUUUGGACAAUGGGCGCAAGCCUGAUCCAGCCAUGCCGCGUGCAGGAUGAAGGCCUUCGGGUUGUAAACUGCUUUUGUACGGAACGAAAAGCCUUCUUUUAAUACAGGAGGGUCAUGACGGUACCGUAAGAAUAAGCACCGGCUAACUACGUG